Sinocyclocheilus anshuiensis is the source of this 407-nucleotide long non-coding RNA. RefSeq lists it as uncharacterized. The record is from RefSeq and is a predicted model, not a curated record. The transcript has 4 exons. Lineage: Eukaryota; Metazoa; Chordata; Actinopteri; Cypriniformes; Cyprinidae.
CAAACCUGUCCACCACCUGCAUCUCCUAAACCUGCUCCUCGUCCAGCUAAUCAGUCACAUACUCAUGUUGAAAUCCAAAGAAAACUAAACAUCACCAAAGAGACAUUCCAGGCAUGUGGAAGAGGAGGUAGUUCAUGGUCAGCUAUGAUCAAAGAUUUGGCAGUGGCUGUUUUCGGGAGGAAUAUGCUGGCUACACAUGGCUUAUCAGGAAAACCUGGUAAUGCCAACAAAGGAUCACAGCCCAAGCCACUCUUAGAUCCAGUUAAAGUGGAACUUAUUUUAGACACUGUUCAGGGUCGAUUUCCAGAAACACCACGGAAGUUUCUAAGAGCUUCAUUCCGGGAAAAACUAAAUGAUGAACACAAAAUGCUAUCAAGGCAACAGAAGAGGCACUCAACAGAAGGCAC